GUUGUCGUGGCCGAGUGGUUGAGACGAUGGACUAGAAAUCCACUGGGAUCUUCCCGCGCAGGUUCGAAUCCUGCCGACAACG
RNAcentral lists this transfer RNA (82 nucleotides) under Dreissena polymorpha. RNAcentral describes it as "transfer RNA serine (anticodon AGA)". It matches the Rfam family "tRNA". Rfam says of the family: Transfer RNA (tRNA) molecules are approximately 80 nucleotides in length. Their secondary structure includes four short double-helical elements and three loops (D, anti-codon, and T loops). Further hydrogen bonds mediate the characteristic L-shaped molecular structure. tRNAs have two regions of fundamental functional importance: the anti-codon, which is responsible for specific mRNA codon recognition, and the 3' end, to which the tRNAs corresponding amino acid is attached (by aminoacyl-tRNA synthetases). tRNAs cope with the degeneracy of the genetic code in two manners: having more than one tRNA (with a specific anti-codon) for a particular amino acid; and 'wobble' base-pairing, i.e. permitting non-standard base-pairing at the 3rd anti-codon position. Lineage: Eukaryota; Metazoa; Mollusca; Bivalvia; Myida; Dreissenidae. The record is from Rfam by way of RNAcentral.